Canis lupus familiaris (dog) is the source of this 1137-nucleotide long non-coding RNA. RefSeq lists it as uncharacterized. NCBI's taxonomy places the organism in Eukaryota, Metazoa, Chordata, Mammalia, Carnivora, Canidae. The transcript has 3 exons. The record is from RefSeq and is a predicted model, not a curated record.
ACCACAAGAAGGUGCAAAACGGAGCCAGGCAUUCCUAGCCAGGGGCCUCAGGAGUGUGGCCCAUAUGCUGAGCUGCCAGUUUCUUUGCCGGCUUAAGAAGUCCCCAGCCAUCUCUUUGCCCAGAUCAUUUGUUGACUUGGAAACUUCUGGAGAAACUAGAUCUGGUCUAUACUUCAUUUAAUCGAUGUCAGAAUGCACACAAGUGUGUCUGAGAGAGAGAGAGACAGAGACGGUGAGAGACAGAGUGACAUCAUAAAUAUUGCUGCAGAAUAUUUCAGGUCACUGUGUAGGGAGGCUGGCCGAGAGAGGGAUACCAGGGAGCAUGAAGUGGGUCCUCCCCUAGUACUGGGGUCCCGGGCAUAGACUCCAUGACUCUUCCCGUUGCUCUGCUCUCCCUGGAGUGGGGUACUGGAGGCCACUGGGAGCCCCCCAUGACCAACCAUUCCCUGCCUUUUACGCUGCAUUGCAGCCCUGAGUACAGAGGUCUCCACCAGCUUGGCAGAAAGACACCACACUAUUGAUGCUUCUACCUUGUUUUCAGGGAAAUGUGUGUCUGGAUCAUCUCGUGGCCCGAAUGGGGAGAAAAGAGAAACUUUGAAAGUCAAGCAAAUACUUUGAUCGUGACCUUUCUGCAACACUGGCCCAUAUUCACCGCUUGUCAGCAGCACAAGAUGGCCAGAAGUCAUCCGUCACUGCCAGCCGUCACUCUGUCGCCUUUCCCAUCAGCCCCAUUACCCGGGAUCAGGAGAGAGUAGAGCCUGGCGUCGGAAGGAUCAUUAAACUUGCGGCUCCCAGGUAGCGCAGGUAGGCCAGGUGGCCUGUUGUUAUUUAUAAUAAAGGAAAGUGCAGCAGAAGUGCCUGCCGGUGGCCCAGGAGGCUGGCGGAGGACGCCUGAACAGUGUCAUCGCUGAAGGACAGUUAAAAGUGGACUCUCCCCCCUCACUGUAAGCAAAGAGGAUUUAUUGAACAUCUGUUCUGUACAUGGCUGGGAAGAUUGAUUAAUUUAAUUGCUCACACUUUGCUUAAGUAACAUUUGAAUACUUAAUGUCAAGUUUGAAGGAUAUUCCAACGUUUGCCCGCACACCUUCUCCUUCGGGUUGCAGAGGGAGAUCCGCAAGGGGGUGGGAGAGCGUGACC